GGGCGCAAGCCUGAUCCAGCCAUUCCGCGUGCAGGACGAAGGCCUUCGGGUUGUAAACUGCUUUUGUACGGAACGAAAANGUUUCNGUUAAUACCAGGGNUNCAUGACGGUACCGUAAGAAUAAGCACCGGCUAACUACGUGCCAGCAGCCGCGGUAAUACGUAGGGUGCNAGCGUUAAUCGGAAUUACUGGGCGUAAAGCGUGCGCAGGCGGUCUUGUAAGACAGAUGUGAAAUCCCCGGGCUCAACCUGGGAACUGCAUUUGUGACUGCAAGGCUAGAGUGCGGCAGAGGGGGAUGGAAUUCCGCGUGUAGCAGUGAAAUGCGUAGAUAUGCGGAGGAACACCGAUGGCGAAGGCAAUCCCCUGGGCCUGCACUGACGCUCAUGCACGAAAGCGUGGGGAGCAAACAGGAUUAGAUACCCUGGUAGUCCACGCCCUAAACGAUGUCAACUGGUUGUUGGGUCUUCACUGACUCNGUNNNG
This 482-nucleotide ribosomal RNA is filed under the name uncultured bacterium. Its description in RNAcentral is "bacterial SSU rRNA". It matches the Rfam family "Bacterial small subunit ribosomal RNA", at positions 373 to 848 of the family's 1533-position model. The record is from RNAcentral.